UGGGGAAUUUUGGACAAUGGGCGCAAGCCUGAUCCAGCCGUGCCGCGUGUCUGAAGAAGGCCUUCGGGUUGUAAAGGACUUUUGUCAGGGAAGAAAAGGCUGUCGCUAAUACCGACAGUUGAUGACGGUACCUGAAGAAUAAGCACCGGCUAACUACGUGCCAGCAGCCGCGGUAAUACGUAGGGUGCGAGCGUUAAUCGGAAUUACUGGGCGUAAAGCGAGCGCAGACGGUUACUUAAGCAGGAUGUGAAAUCCCCGGGCUCAACCUGGGAACUGCGUUCUGAACUGGGUGACUAGAGUGUGUCAGAGGGAGGUAGAAUUCCACGUGUAGCAGUGAAAUGCGUAGAGAUGUGGAGGAAUACCGAUGGCGAAGGCAGCCUCCUGGGAUAACACUGACGUUCAUGCUCGAAAGCGUGGGUAGCAAACAGGAUUAGAUACCCUGGUAGUCCACGCCCUAAACGAUGUCAAUUAGCUGUUGGGCAACUUGAUUGCUUAGUGGCGUAGCUAACGCGUGAAAUUGACCGCCUGGGGAGUACGGUCGCAAGAUUA
RNAcentral lists this ribosomal RNA (549 nucleotides) under uncultured bacterium. RNAcentral describes it as "bacterial SSU rRNA". It matches the Rfam family "Bacterial small subunit ribosomal RNA", at positions 355 to 896 of the family's 1533-position model. The record is from RNAcentral.